Molecule: ribosomal RNA, 264 nt
Filed under: Flavobacteriales bacterium
Lineage: Bacteria; Pseudomonadati; Bacteroidota; Flavobacteriia; Flavobacteriales
Description: partial 16S ribosomal RNA
Rfam family: Bacterial small subunit ribosomal RNA
Source: RNAcentral
ACAACGGAGAGUUUGAUCCUGGCUCAGGAUGAACGCUAGCGGCAGGCCUAACACAUGCAAGUCGAACGGUAACAUAGACUGCUUGCAGUCUGAUGACGAGUGGCGCACGGGUGCGUAACGCGUAUGCAACUUACCCUUAACUGGAGAAUAGCCUUUCGAAAGGAAGAUUAAUACUCCAUAGUAUUUCACCCCGGCAUCGGGGAGUUCUUAAAGCUUCGGCGGUUAAGGAUGGGCAUGCGUAAGAUUAGCUAGUUGGUAAGGUAA